This 831-nucleotide ribosomal RNA is filed under the name Neurospora seminuda. RNAcentral's name for it is "eukaryotic LSU rRNA". It matches the Rfam family "Eukaryotic large subunit ribosomal RNA", at positions 74 to 938 of the family's 3401-position model. The record is from RNAcentral. Lineage: Eukaryota; Fungi; Ascomycota; Sordariomycetes; Sordariales; Sordariaceae.
AUUGCCCUAGUAACGGCGAGUGAAGCGGCAACAGCUCAAAUUUGAAAUCUGGCUUCGGCCCGAGUUGUAAUUUGUAGAGGAAGCUUUUGGUGAGGCACCUUCUGAGUCCCCUGGAACGGGGCGCCAUAGAGGGUGAGAGCCCCGUAUAGUCGGAUGCCGAUCCAAUGUAAAGCUCCUUCGACGAGUCGAGUAGUUUGGGAAUGCUGCUCAAAAUGGGAGGUAAAUUUCUUCUAAAGCUAAAUACCGGCCAGAGACCGAUAGCGCACAAGUAGAGUGAUCGAAAGAUGAAAAGCACUUUGAAAAGAGGGUUAAAUAGCACGUGAAAUUGUUGAAAGGGAAGCGUUUGUGACCAGACUUGCGCCGUUCCGAUCAUCCGGUGUUCUCACCGGUGCACUCGGGACGGCACAGGCCAGCAUCGGUUUUGGCGGGGGGAUAAAGGUCCUGGGAACGUAGCUCCUCCGGGAGUGUUAUAGCCCAGGGCGUAAUGCCCUCGCCGGGACCGAGGUUCGCGCAUCUGCAAGGAUGCUGGCGUAAUGGUCACCAACGACCCGUCUUGAAACACGGACCAAGGAGUCAAGGUUUUGCGCGAGUGUUUGGGUGUAAAACCCGCACGCGUAAUGAAAGUGAACGUAGGUGAGAGCUUCGGCGCAUCAUCGACCGAUCCUGAUGUAUUCGGAUGGAUUUGAGUAAGAGCGUUAAGCCUUGGACCCGAAAGAUGGUGAACUAUGCUUGGAUAGGGUGAAGCCAGAGGAAACUCUGGUGGAGGCUCGCAGCGGUUCUGACGUGCAAAUCGAUCGUCAAAUCUGAGCAUGGGGGCGAAAGACUAAUCGA